RNAcentral lists this long non-coding RNA (421 nucleotides) under Spirodela polyrhiza (greater duckweed). RNAcentral's name for it is "long non-coding RNA (SPOL_LNC000010)". The record is from RNAcentral. Lineage: Eukaryota; Viridiplantae; Streptophyta; Magnoliopsida; Alismatales; Araceae.
GACAACUUCCAAUAAACACUGGAGGGUAAUGCUUUAUUCAAACAAUGAUAUGUAACCACGGUACAACAGAUGAACCAACAAAAACAAUUCAACGUCCCAGGAAAAAGAGCGAUCAUCUGGGAGAUUACAACGGCAGGAGGUCUUUAUUGUCUUCUGCUUCAAAUUGCUGUGGAAGGGGGGAGCGGCCAGGGGAUGCGGGUGGGGAAGGAACGACAAACUUCUAAUUGUUCCCCCCCCCCCCUCUCCCCUUGAAGAAACAUUCAAUUCAAAUACAAAGUUGGAUGACAGUUUUUCCUAUCCUGAUGCAGGCGAUAAGUACGUGAAUUUCUCCAAAGAAUUUGACCUUUCCAAGCUUUCUAUUAUCAAGGCAGCUUCUGAGAAUCAUCCUGCGGUUGCAUGCAUCCUAUUAUGGAACGCCUAG